RNAcentral lists this long non-coding RNA (485 nucleotides) under Gopherus agassizii (Agassiz's desert tortoise). Its description in RNAcentral is "lncRNA (ENSGAGG00000006227.1)". Lineage: Eukaryota; Metazoa; Chordata; Testudines; Testudinidae. The record is from RNAcentral.
CUGUUGAGUUGGAAUCCAACGAGACAACAAACUUCAGACAGAAAGUUGAGAUUCCAUCGUGCUUGGAACUGAAAGAGUUGUUAAAAUUAGCACCAGAAAUUAUAGCAGAUGAAAGCAGAAGUGAAAAUAAAAUCAAAGAUCGAGGAAAACUCUUUCGUGAACUUGCUGUUUCCCAGGAUUCCCACUGCACAUCUUAUAUCCUUCCUCCUCACAUCAGAGCAGCCUUUCAUACAUCCCUGGAUGGGGCGGUAUGUAUCUGCUCUGAUUUGGAAGAUCUUACUGCAAAUAUUACAAAUGAAAUAGAGAUUUCAAAAUACUGUCCCACAAUGGAAGAGGUUUGUUUCAAUCAGAGCAGAAAUCCACUGGAAUGCAGUGAGGCAGUUCGUUAUGCUUUAUAUCCUCAAUAUGAAGUAGAAAUACCACUAACUCCACCAUCCAGACCACAAAGAUCACUCGUGAAUUCACUUCAUGCAGGACUUCAGGCA